This 573-nucleotide ribosomal RNA is filed under the name uncultured Methanosarcinales archaeon. Its description in RNAcentral is "bacterial SSU rRNA". It matches the Rfam family "Archaeal small subunit ribosomal RNA", at positions 339 to 896 of the family's 1478-position model. The record is from RNAcentral. Lineage: Archaea; Methanobacteriati; Methanobacteriota; Methanomicrobia; Methanosarcinales.
GCGCGAAAACUUUACAAUGCGGGAAACCGUGAUAAGGGGACACCGAGUGCCAGCAUCAUAUGCUGGCUGUCCAGGUGUGUAAAAUACACCUGUUAGCAAGGGCCGGGCAAGACCGGUGCCAGCCGCCGCGGUAACACCGGCGGCCCGAGUGGUGAUCGUGAUUAUUGGGUCUAAAGGGUCCGUAGCCGGUUUGGUCAGUCCUCCGGGAAAUCUGACGGCUCAACCGUUAGGCUUUCGGGGGAUACUGCCAGGCUUGGAACCGGGAGAGGUAAGAGGUACUACAGGGGUAGGAGUGAAAUCUUGUAAUCCCUGUGGGACCACCUGUGGCGAAGGCGUCUUACCAGAACGGGUUCGACGGUGAGGGACGAAAGCUGGGGGCACGAACCGGAUUAGAUACCCGGGUAGUCCCAGCCGUAAACGAUGCUCGCUAGGUGUCAGGCAUGGCGCGACCGUGUCGUGGUCGCCGCGAGGGAACGCCGUAGAAGCGACGCCACCGUGGGAAGUACGGCCGACAACGGCUAAGAAACGUUAAAGGAAGUUGGGACGGGGGAGACCGAACAACGAACGGGGGUA